ACAGUUCCUGUGAUUGCAAAUGCCAAGUUAACAUAAUAGUGAUGUUCAAUUCAAACUCUAAAAAGUUGCUUUUGAAAGCUGAUAUUAAUUUAAUGUGAUUAUUGUGAGAUUAGCAAAUGCCAUGUACUUAAUUUUCAGGGAGAAGGGGAUUUUUAGUUAGUGAGUUUUCAUUUGUAACAGAUCAUAUGAUGCUAAGAUGACUUUAUUUUUUUUUGGUA
RNAcentral lists this unclassified non-coding RNA (218 nucleotides) under Hevea brasiliensis (rubber tree). Lineage: Eukaryota; Viridiplantae; Streptophyta; Magnoliopsida; Malpighiales; Euphorbiaceae. The record is from RNAcentral.